AGUCUGCAGAUUUGGAAACCUGCCCUGCACUUACUCAGGGGGACACUGUGAGGUCACUAACAUAGACUUGCCAGUCUCAAGUGCAGCAAGGAUGCCAUUGUCAAAGGGCUGUAUCAGAAGUGUGUUCACAGCUCACUGAAGGAAACAGGGACAAGUAAUUUUGUUUCUUCUUACUGAUGUAUCUCUCCUGGAGAUGAUCUGUAAUGCAUCAGAGAAGAAUACACUGGGGGAGGUGUGGAAGAGGUACAAGACUUCUGCUGUUCCAGACUUUUCCUUAAGAAGGGCAACUGAGCAGCCUUAA
RNAcentral lists this long non-coding RNA (301 nucleotides) under Cyanistes caeruleus (blue tit). RNAcentral describes it as "lncRNA (ENSCCEG00000023198.1)". The record is from RNAcentral. Lineage: Eukaryota; Metazoa; Chordata; Aves; Passeriformes; Paridae.